GACGAACGCUGGCGGUGUGCUUCACACAUGCAAGUCGAACGAGGUAGCAAUACCUAGUGGCGGACGGGUGAGUAACGCGUGGGAAUCUGCCUUUAGAUGGGGGAUAACGGGUCGAAAGACUCGCUAAUACCGCAUAUGACGAAAGUUGAAAGGAGUAAUCCGUCUAAAGAUGAGCCCGCGUCCGAUCAGCUAGUUGGUAGAGUAAAAGCCUACCAAGGCGACGAUCGGUAGCUGGUCUGAGAGGAUGAUCAGCCACAAUGGGACUAGAGACACGGCCCAUACUCCUACGGGAGGCAGCAGUGGGAAUUUACGCAAUGGGCGAAAGCCUGACGUAGCGACACCGCGUGAGCG
This 351-nucleotide ribosomal RNA is filed under the name uncultured bacterium. Its description in RNAcentral is "bacterial SSU rRNA". It matches the Rfam family "Bacterial small subunit ribosomal RNA", at positions 28 to 407 of the family's 1533-position model. The record is from RNAcentral.